GUGCACGCUGGCGGUAGGCCUAACCCAUGCAAGUCGAACGGCGGCACCGUAAGAGCUUGCUCUUACGGGUGGCGAGUGGCGGACGGGUGAGGAAUACAUCGGAAUCUACUUUUUCGUGGGGGAUAACGUAGGGAAACUUACGCUAAUACCGCAUACGACCUACGGGUGAAAGCAGGGGAUCUUCGGACCUUGCGCGAUUGAAUGAGCCGAUGUCGGAUUAGCUAGUUGGCGGGGUAAAGGCCCACCAAGGCGACGAUCCGUAGCUGGUCUGAGAGGAUGAUCAGCCACACUGGAACUGAGACACGGUCCAGACUCCUACGGGAGGCAGCAGUGGGGAAUAUUGGACAAUGGGCGCAAGCCUGAUCCAGCCAUACCGCGUGGGUGAAGAAGGCCUUCGGGUUGUAAAGCCCUUUUGUUGGGAAAGAAAAGCAGCAGGUUAAUACCCCGCUGUUCUGACGGUACCCAAAGAAUAAGCACCGGCUAACUUCGUG
This 491-nucleotide ribosomal RNA is filed under the name uncultured bacterium. RNAcentral's name for it is "partial 16S ribosomal RNA". It matches the Rfam family "Bacterial small subunit ribosomal RNA", at positions 29 to 507 of the family's 1533-position model. The record is from RNAcentral.